This 497-nucleotide ribosomal RNA is filed under the name uncultured bacterium. RNAcentral describes it as "partial 16S ribosomal RNA". It matches the Rfam family "Bacterial small subunit ribosomal RNA", at positions 28 to 507 of the family's 1533-position model. The record is from RNAcentral.
GAUGAACGCUGGCGGCGUGCCUAAUACAUGCAAGUCGAGCGAACAGACGAGGAGCUUGCUCCUCUGACGUUAGCGGCGGACGGGUGAGUAACACGUGGAUAACCUACCUAUAAGACUGGGAUAACUUCGGGAAACCGGAUCUAAUACCGGAUAAUAUAUUGAACCGCAUGGUUCAAUAGUGAAAGCCGGUUUUGCUGUCACUUAUAGAUGGAUCCUCGCCGCAUUAGCUAGUUGGUAAGGUAACGGCUUACCAAGGCAACGAUGCGUAGCCGACCUGAGAGGGUGAUCGGCCACACUGGAACUGAGACACGGUCCAGACUCCUACGGGAGGCAGCAGUAGGGAAUCUUCCGCAAUGGGCGAAAGCCUGACGGAGCCACGCCGCGUGAGUGAUGAAGGUCUUCGGAUCGUAAAACUCUGUUAUUAGGGAAGAACAAAUGUGUAAGUAACUAUGCACGUCUUGACGGUACCUAAUCAGAAAGCCACGGCUAACUACGUG